This is a long non-coding RNA of Amphibalanus amphitrite, 3453 nucleotides long. RefSeq lists it as uncharacterized. The record is from RefSeq and is a predicted model, not a curated record. Lineage: Eukaryota; Metazoa; Arthropoda; Thecostraca; Balanomorpha; Balanidae. The transcript has 5 exons.
UGGCCAGCAUAGUGAAGGGCGGCGACCAGCCGGAACGUCUUCAAGGAGCGGACUACUGCCGCUGUCGCCGUACAGCAGCGACGGCGGUGUGAUGAGAUGCAGUUAGUGGAUGUGCCGGAACGUUUGUCGUCUCCUUAGUGUGUGUGUUUAGAAUGCAUAGCUAAACACAGGGGGGAGUGAUGUUGCCGACAAACUGCACUAGGUAGUUGGUGUUGCGGCUCAUUUCGGCUCUGAUCGUAGCUGCCGGGCCGGGCCGACUCGUGAUCUCGGCCGGCGCCGCUCCACGCCGCCGCCGCCCCCAUCCCCCUGCCAUGCCGCCGGCAGAUGGGCCGUCCGCGAGAGAGUUUAUGGCAGUGAUCGGGUGACGGGACGCUCCUCUCUCCCUGCGACCGUGUCCUACAGCUGCAGUUGUAUGAAAGGAUGCGCUGUUACCGGAGGGACUGACCCGGGGGGAGGGGGUGGGCUGGCGUGGCGUCGCACGUGGAACUGUGUCCCCGGCGGGUCGGAGCCGUUAGGCCGACAUGUGCCGACCGCGUGGUAGGGUUACCAGGACGCUGUGUAGUGUGUAGCUUCUUCGUUAUUUCAUCACUUCCGUCGCCAUCUGUGUCCUCCCGACCCAGUACAUAAACGGGGCGGGACCAACCCUCGCUCUCACUUCUUUACUUUUCGGCGCCGAGAGAGCACUGCCUCGCUCUCUGGCCAACUCUUCUUAUCAGUGAUACUGUGUUGUCAUCGCCUAUUCGCCAUCUGCAAUACUCACCAGUUCGGAAGAAUCUUGUGUUUGUGAAUGGUGAAGAGUGGAGUGCAGCGGCGGAUAAGAGCACGGGGAGAGUGGCACACAGUCAGUUCGCACAGUCUUCUAUUUCACGGUGACCGGGUCUACUUAUCAUUCCUAUCUGAUUCCUUAUUUUCCUAAUACCUCUUGCUCUCUGAAAAGAGGGUUCCUUUGUCUCUCUGUAAAGAGGGCUCUAUAUUUAGGUCUUAACAUGCUCUCUGUAAAGAGGGUUCCUUUGUCUCUCUGAAAAGAGGGCUCUGCAUACCCUUUUAGGUCUUAACAUGCUCUCUGUAAAGAGGGUUCCUUUGUCUCUCUGAAAAGAGGGCUCUGCAUACCCUUUUAGGUCUUAACAUGCUCUCUGUAAAGAGGGUUCCUUUGUCGCUCUGAAAAGAGUGCUCUUAAACCUUGAUCCAAAAUUAUAUCCAUUCAUAUAGCAUCCCCUUCUUAUAUUAUAAAUUCCCAUUUCGCCUCAUUACCAUAUCAACCUAUAUCCUGUCAGGCCCCGGUCGCCACACCAAAUGAUGCGAGACGUCAACACACACACAGUUAUACAGUCCACUGAGUCAAGUUGAAGAACGUCUGCAACAGCCCUGUUUCACCACCCAGACACUGUGUGCGCUGGCAGCUAUGCUAUGGUAGCUACGGCAUACCAUAGCGUCACUCAAAUGACGUUGCAUGUGAUCUCUUUGUUUAUGAUGAAUCACACUUGGAACAGAGUGAGAGGUCCUGAAAAACCAAGUACCUACCAAGAACAGAGGUUUGAGUUCAAAUACUGCUAGCAUGCUGCUGGCGCUGGCGCCACAGCGUGCUAGCAUUCUGGGAUGCUGUCAUAGCUUAGCGUCAGAGUGAAGUUUGUUGACACUGCCAUGGAAACCCAAUGCUCCGACACACGCAGCACACUGCAGUGCUCUGCCGUGAAACACCACCCAUGAACAUUAAUUGCAUGACCAGGAUCGAAGCAGUGUGGCAGAGUGCUUUUAAUUUUAGUUACACUUUCUAGAGAUUAACAAGUUGUUAGUGAAAUUGCUAUUCAUUAUUCCUAUUACCAUUGUCUAAAUUUCACAUUUCAAGACAGCAUUGACAUGUUAUCUAAAAAAAAGGUUUAGACUUCAGGUGGUCCCGGAUUCAGUUAUUAAGAAGAACAAGGGCAAAAAUUGUCAAAAAAAAAAUUAAAAAUACCUGCCUUCAUCAACACCUCAUCUAAUGACAUAUCCUCCAUGCAAUAAGCAAAAACCGUUUGAAUAACAAUGUAAUAUUUUGCAACCGCUGCACCAUUACUGUCACGUACGCUAUCCCUAGAGUGGUUGCUGGUAAGUAAGUGGUUGUCGUCAUCAACUCGUCAUGCAGCAGCUGAUUGGGAUGGGCGGGGCCUAUUUUUAUCCAGACGAUAGAGAGAGCCGGAAUUUCACACGACGAAAACAAUUGAAUAACCUUGAUUUGUCUACACUUGCCCUUAUCGAUAUCAAGAUUUUUAAGCCCUGUACGCUAUGAGACAAAUCAAAAUUUCAAAUUUCUUCCGUAUGUAAAAUAUAUUGCCAUUAGCGAUUCAGUGAUGAAAAAUGAAUAAAUCUGAAUUUUCAUAAACGAGCAUUGCGUUGAUCUUCGGUCUUCACGUACAUUUUUAUUUGUUGUAUACGCUAAUGGCGCAAGUGCUACAUUCCUACAAAGUGUGAAAUGCCGCUGAGGAUAUAACAGCGGCAGCGACAUAUCCUCCACUCUUCAAACGAUUCCUAUCAUCCAACUUUUAUCGUAACAUCGUAACCCUACCAAUUACCAUUCACAAACUUCCUCCUUCCCUCCCCUCACAAACAUCAAUUUAACGGUAUAGGUGGACAUCAUCUUUCCACAAUAUUAUGGAGACUCCAGAAUCUAACAAACCAGUAGACACUUGUCAAGAUGCUAAAGGAUCAAAUAUGGAGGACUUGGCGAAAUGUAUGGUCUCAUUAUAUCAACCACCAUUGGAAGAAAGCAAAGACCACAUCAAUGAACUCUUGAAUGGACAAGAACGGCUGUUGAAGAUUAUGGAGCAAGAGAACAGUCGUUUCAAGGAAUGUGAAUAUACCUACAAUAUACCUGAACUGAUGCAACAAGUAAGGGUUUACCAAGGGAAAUUGACGAGGAUAAAGAAGCAAAUGACCAAUAUCCACGACCGGUGCGUCAAGCUGAAGCGCCGCUCACUGCGGCUCAAGGAGCAGACGGAGGCGCGUGCCGAGCGCAGUCGGCAGGACAAACUGCGCGCCCAGCAGCGCGAGGAGCAGCUGGUGGCACGGUUCGCCGGCGCCGGUCCCUUGUCCCGACCGGACCCGGGCGCCGGCCCGGCGCCCUGACUGCGUACGGCCAGUUCCUUGUAUGCACUGACCGAGCGCCGACUUCGCGGGGCGUUCACCGUGGGCACUUGUCAUGUACCCAUACUGUGAUGUGAAGUUUUUAUCAGCAUGUGCUGCAGUGUGAAGCCAAUAUUUCCACCUGACUUCUUUCAGUUCUUUCCCUACAUACGGUAAAUGUAUUUGGGGAGUAACGGGGAUACCCGUCCUUGCAAUCUGCGCUGAUAUCGGCUGUUUUAGAGGCUAUGCCGAUGGGAGAUCAUUAACUGGCAUGGGUUAUAAACUUAUUAUAAUUAUGGAUGAGGAAAACCAAUAGCGAAAGUGUUAUGAAAUAUAUGUACUGUUACAAUUGUU